Molecule: ribosomal RNA, 590 nt
Filed under: uncultured Bacilli bacterium
Lineage: Bacteria; Bacillati; Bacillota; Bacilli
Description: bacterial SSU rRNA
Rfam family: Bacterial small subunit ribosomal RNA
Source: RNAcentral
UUGCACCGAGCGGAUGAGUUGCGAACGGGUGAGUAACGCGUAGGUAACCUGCCUCUUAGCGGGGGAUAACCAUUGGAAACGAUAGCUAAUACCGCAUAAAAGUCGACAUUGCAUGAUGUUGACUUGAAAGGUGCAAUUGCAUCACUAAGAGAUGGACCUGCGUUGUAUUAGCUAGUUGGUGAGGUAACGGCUCACCAAGGCGACGAUACAUAGCCGACCUGAGAGGGUGAUCGGCCACACUGGGACUGAGACACGGCCCAGACUCCUACGGGAGGCAGCAGUAGGGAAUCUUCGGCAAUGGGGGCAACCCUGACCGAGCAACGCCGCGUGAGUGAAGAAGGUUUUCGGAUCGUAAAGCUCUGUUGUAAGAGAAGAACGAGUGUGAGAGUGGAAAGUUCACACUGUGACGGUAACUUACCAGAAAGGGACGGCUAACUACGUGCCAGCAGCCGCGGUAAUACGUAGGUCCCGAGCGUUAUCCGGAUUUAUUGGGCGUAAAGCGAGCGCAGGCGGUUAGAUAAGUCUGAAGUUAAAGGCUGUGGCUUAACCAUAGUACGCUUUGGAAACUGUUUAACUUGAGUGCAGAAGGG